Molecule: ribosomal RNA, 468 nt
Filed under: uncultured bacterium
Lineage: Bacteria
Description: partial 16S ribosomal RNA
Rfam family: Bacterial small subunit ribosomal RNA
Source: RNAcentral
GACGAACGCUGGCGGCGUGCUUAACACAUGCCAGUCGAACGGAAAGGCCCUGCUUUUGUGGGGUGCUCGAGUGGCGAACGGGUGAGUAACACGUGAGUAACCUGCCCUUGACUUUGGGAUAACUUCAGGAAACUGGGGCUAAUACCGGAUAGGAGCUCCUGCUGCAUGGUGGGGGUUGGAAAGUUUCGGCGGUUGGGGAUGGACUCGAGGCUUAUCAGCUGGUUGGUGGGGUAGUGGCUUACCAAGGCUUUGACGGGUAGCCGGCCUGAGAGGGUGACCGGCCACAUUGGGACUGAGAUACGGCCCAGACUCCUACGGGAGGCAGCAGUGGGGAAUAUUGCACAAUGGGCGGAAGCCUGAUGCAGCAACGCCGCGUGCGUGAUGACGUCCUUCGGGUUGUAAACCGCUUUCGCCUGUGACGAAGCGUGAGUGACGGUAAUGGGUAAAGAAGCACCGGCUAACUACGUG